This 255-nucleotide ribosomal RNA is filed under the name uncultured bacterium. Its description in RNAcentral is "partial 16S ribosomal RNA". It matches the Rfam family "Bacterial small subunit ribosomal RNA", at positions 524 to 776 of the family's 1533-position model. The record is from RNAcentral.
CACGUAGGGUGCGAGCGUUGUCCGGAAUUAUUGGGCGUAAAGAGCUCGUAGGCGGUGUGUCGCGUCGGCCGUGAAAACCUGUGGCUUAACUAUGGGCUUGCGGUCGAUACGGGCAUCACUGGAGUUCGGCAGGGGAGACUGGAAUUCCUGGUGUAGCGGUGAAAUGCGCAGAUAUCAGGAGGAACACCGGUGGCGAAGGCGGGUCUCUGGGCCGAUACUGACGCUGAGUGAGCGAAAGCCAGGGGAGCAAACGGG